RNAcentral lists this ribosomal RNA (485 nucleotides) under uncultured Methanosaeta sp. RNAcentral's name for it is "bacterial SSU rRNA". It matches the Rfam family "Archaeal small subunit ribosomal RNA", at positions 858 to 1338 of the family's 1478-position model. Lineage: Archaea; Methanobacteriati; Methanobacteriota; Methanomicrobia; Methanotrichales; Methanotrichaceae. The record is from RNAcentral.
UACAAAGGAAGUUGACGGGGAGCACCACAACGGUGGAGCUUGCGGUUUAAUUGGUAUUCAACGCCGGAAAUCUUACCGGGACCGACAGACAAUAUGAAGGCCAGGCUGAAGACUUUGCCGGAUUAGCUGAGAGGUGGUGCAUGGCCGUCGUCAGUUCGUACUGUGAAGCAUCCUGUUAAGUCAGGCAACGAGCGAGACCCACGCCCACAGUUGCCAGCGUACUCUCUGGAGUGACGGGUACACUGUGGGGACCGCCGCUGCUAAAGCGGAGGAAGGAAUGGGCAACGGUAGGUCAGUAUGCCCCGAAUAUCCCGGGCUACACGCGAGCUACAAUGGUUGGUACAAUGGGUAUCUACCCCGAAAGGGGACGGGAAUCUCCUAAAACCAAUCUUAGUUCGGAUUGAGGGCUGCAACUCGCCCUCAUGAAGCUGGAAUCCGUAGUAAUCGCGUUUCAACAGAACGCGGUGAAUACGUCCCUGCUCCUU